GAUGAACGCUGGCGGCGUGCCUAAUACAUGCAAGUCGAGCGAAGAGACGAGGAGCUUGCUCCUGUGAGGUUAGCGGCGGACAGGGGAGUAACAAGAGGAUAACAACCUGAUACGACUUGGAUAAUUACGGGAAACCGGAGCUACUACCGGGUAAUAUAUUGAGCCUCAUGGUUCAAUAGUGUAAGACGGUUUUGCUGUCGCUGAGGGAUGGAUCCGCGCCGCAUUAGCUAGUUGGUAAGGUAACGGCUUACCAAGGCAACGAUGCGUAGCCGACCUGAGAGGAGGGUCGGCCGCACUGGAACUGAGACACGGCCCAGACUCCUACGGGAGGCAGCAGUAGGGAAGCUUCCGCAAUGGGCGAAAGCCGGACGGAGCAACGCCGCGUGAGUGAUGAAGGUCUUCGGCGCGUAAAACUCUGUUAUUAGGGAAGAACAAAUGUGUAAGUAACUAUGCACGGCUUGACGGUACCUAAUCAGAAAGCCACGGCUAACUACGUG
Molecule: ribosomal RNA, 497 nt
Filed under: uncultured bacterium
Lineage: Bacteria
Description: partial 16S ribosomal RNA
Rfam family: Bacterial small subunit ribosomal RNA
Source: RNAcentral